Molecule: unclassified non-coding RNA, 240 nt
Filed under: soil metagenome
Description: partial contains 5.8S ribosomal RNA, internal transcribed spacer 2, and large subunit ribosomal RNA
Source: RNAcentral
AACGGUCUAUACCUGCGGUACCUGCGGAGGGAUCAUUAUAGAGUGGUAAACCCCCCGUAAAAGGGGGGGACCUCCUGUCCUUUGUAGGCUCUUUUUUAAAAGGGCUUUUUUUAAUUUUCUGCUUCGGUGGGGUUAUCCCACCGGAACAACCUCAAAACUCUUAUCAAAAAAUCGUUCUGUCUGAGAACCUUUUAUAAUAAAAAAAAACUUUUAGCAACGGAUCUCUAGAUCGGAAGAGCA